GAAUUGCCGAUGAGGGAGAAGAGUAGUAGAGAUCGUCAGUCCCAGAGAAGAAAUGCCAAAGGCUGGAAGCAUUUCUGAUUGUCCUCUAUGAAUGAACACUCCUUAGGCUUUCUUCUGAACCGUUUUUUUCAGUAGGGAGAAACGUUGCCGGGCGUUAACCGGUAAAGAGGGGGAAUUCAGAAUUCCCCAAUAAGGGUGGUACCACGGGAAGUUAACUCUCGUCCCUGUU
RNAcentral lists this non-coding RNA (229 nucleotides) under Salisediminibacterium beveridgei. Its description in RNAcentral is "Bacillus beveridgei T-box sequence". It matches the Rfam family "T-box leader". From Rfam's summary of the family: Uncharged tRNA acts as the effector for transcription antitermination of genes in the T-box leader family. Lineage: Bacteria; Bacillati; Bacillota; Bacilli; Caryophanales; Bacillaceae. The record is from RNAcentral.